GACUCUGUAGCUCAAUAGGCAGAGCAAUUGGUAGUCAAAAGUCAAUAAAUGACAGUUCGAAUCUGUCCGGAGUCA
Non-coding RNA from Spirosoma linguale DSM 74, 75 nucleotides. NCBI's taxonomy places the organism in Bacteria, Pseudomonadati, Bacteroidota, Cytophagia, Cytophagales, Cytophagaceae. The record is from Rfam.